AGCAGCCGCGGUAAUUCCAGCUCCAAUAGCGUAUAUUAAAGUUGUUGCAGUUAAAAAGCUCGUAGUUGAAUUUCGGAAUCAAUAUAUCGGUCGUGCCUUGGUACGUACUGGUAUCAUUGGUUUCUCCUUUCUGACGAACCAUGAUGUCAUUAAUUUGGUGUUAUGGGAAGUUAGGACUGUUACUUUGAAAAAAUUAGAGUGUUUAAAGCAGGCUUUAGCUUGAAUACAUUAGCAUGGAAUAAUGAAAUAGGACGUUCGAACCUAUUUUGUUGGUUUCUAGGAUCAACGUAAUGAUUAAUAGGGAUAGUUGGGGGCAUUAGUAUUCAAUUGUCAGAGGUGAAGUUCUUGGAUUUAUUGAAGACUAACUACUGCGAAAGCAUUUGCCAAGGAUGUUUUCAUUAAUCAAGAACGAAAGUUAGGGGAUCGAAGACGAUCAGAUACCGUCGUAGUCUUAACCAUAAACUAUGCCGACUAGGGAUCGGAUGAUGUUAAUUUUUUAAUGACUCA
This 507-nucleotide ribosomal RNA is filed under the name uncultured Glomeraceae. Its description in RNAcentral is "SSU rRNA". It matches the Rfam family "Eukaryotic small subunit ribosomal RNA", at positions 569 to 1078 of the family's 1831-position model. Lineage: Eukaryota; Fungi; Glomeromycota; Glomeromycetes; Glomerales; Glomeraceae. The record is from RNAcentral.